UUUAGUCUAAAGGUCCUCCCACUAUUUUAUAUGAAUUGGUAGCCUCUACCUCCAAUUCAAGGAAUUAUCUUAAUUUUUUAGCGGGUACUAGAAUCCACACAGGCUACAUAUAGGCCCGAAGAUGGCUCAAUCAACCCAUAUGCACCUAUAGGUAGGUUCUCAACCAAUUAUUUCUCCAAACAAUUUUUAGUAUUUAAUUUAGCCCCAGAUUUCAUUUCAAUAGGUGAUGGGCCUCUACUGAAAGUUCUGAUUAGGUCAAACCAUUAACAUGAACCUACUCAGUGAUUCUACCUAAUGAGUGAUCAGGUCCGAGGAUGGCUCAGUCAACCCAACCAUCAUCAGAUGGUUCAUCAGAGUCAUCAUAUAAUGAAUGAUAAUUCUAUCAUUCAGAGAGAACA
RNAcentral lists this long non-coding RNA (398 nucleotides) under Elaeis guineensis (African oil palm). RNAcentral's name for it is "long non-coding RNA (EGUI_LNC042803)". The record is from RNAcentral. Lineage: Eukaryota; Viridiplantae; Streptophyta; Magnoliopsida; Arecales; Arecaceae.